This 1804-nucleotide ribosomal RNA is filed under the name Salmonella enterica subsp. enterica serovar Typhimurium str. DT104. RNAcentral's name for it is "bacterial LSU rRNA". It matches the Rfam family "Bacterial large subunit ribosomal RNA", at positions 1144 to 2925 of the family's 2925-position model. The record is from RNAcentral. Lineage: Bacteria; Pseudomonadati; Pseudomonadota; Gammaproteobacteria; Enterobacterales; Enterobacteriaceae.
ACUGGUCGAGUCGGCCUGCGCGGAAGAUGUAACGGGGCUAAACCAUGCACCGAAGCUGCGGCAGCGACGCUGAUGCGUUGUUGGGUAGGGGAGCGUUCUGUAAGCCUGCGAAGGUGACCUGUGAGGGUUGCUGGAGGUAUCAGAAGUGCGAAUGCUGACAUAAGUAACGAUAAAGCGGGUGAAAAGCCCGCUCGCCGGAAGACCAAGGGUUCCUGUCCAACGUUAAUCGGGGCAGGGUGAGUCGACCCCUAAGGCGAGGCCGAAAGGCGUAGUCGAUGGGAAACGGGUUAAUAUUCCCGUACUUGGUGUUACUGCGAAGGGGGGACGGAGAAGGCUAUGUUGGCCGGGCGACGGUUGUCCCGGUUUAAGCGUGUAGGUGUGUGUUCCAGGUAAAUCCGGUUCACUUUAACACUGAGGCGUGACGACGAGGCACUACGGUGCUGAAGCAACAAAUGCCCUGCUUCCAGGAAAAGCCUCUAAGCAUCAGGUAACACGAAAUCGUACCCCAAACCGACACAGGUGGUCAGGUAGAGAAUACCAAGGCGCUUGAGAGAACUCGGGUGAAGGAACUAGGCAAAAUGGUGCCGUAACUUCGGGAGAAGGCACGCUGACACGUAGGUGAAGUGAUUUACUCAUGGAGCUGAAGUCAGUCGAAGAUACCAGCUGGCUGCAACUGUUUAUUAAAAACACAGCACUGUGCAAACACGAAAGUGGACGUAUACGGUGUGACGCCUGCCCGGUGCCGGAAGGUUAAUUGAUGGGGUCAGCGCAAGCGAAGCUCCUGAUCGAAGCCCCGGUAAACGGCGGCCGUAACUAUAACGGUCCUAAGGUAGCGAAAUUCCUUGUCGGGUAAGUUCCGACCUGCACGAAUGGCGUAAUGAUGGCCAGGCUGUCUCCACCCGAGACUCAGUGAAAUUGAACUCGCUGUGAAGAUGCAGUGUACCCGCGGCAAGACGGAAAGACCCCGUGAACCUUUACUAUAGCUUGACACUGAACAUUGAGCCUUGAUGUGUAGGAUAGGUGGGAGGCUUUGAAGUGUGGACGCCAGUCUGCAUGGAGCCGACCUUGAAAUACCACCCUUUAAUGUUUGAUGUUCUAACGUGGACCCGUAAUCCGGGUUGCGGACAGUGUCUGGUGGGUAGUUUGACUGGGGCGGUCUCCUCCUAAAGAGUAACGGAGGAGCACGAAGGUUGGCUAAUCCUGGUCGGACAUCAGGAGGUUAGUGCAAUGGCAUAAGCCAGCUUGACUGCGAGCGUGACGGCGCGAGCAGGUGCGAAAGCAGGUCAUAGUGAUCCGGUGGUUCUGAAUGGAAGGGCCAUCGCUCAACGGAUAAAAGGUACUCCGGGGAUAACAGGCUGAUACCGCCCAAGAGUUCAUAUCGACGGCGGUGUUUGGCACCUCGAUGUCGGCUCAUCACAUCCUGGGGCUGAAGUAGGUCCCAAGGGUAUGGCUGUUCGCCAUUUAAAGUGGUACGCGAGCUGGGUUUAGAACGUCGUGAGACAGUUCGGUCCCUAUCUGCCGUGGGCGCUGGAGAACUGAGGGGGGCUGCUCCUAGUACGAGAGGACCGGAGUGGACGCAUCACUGGUGUUCGGGUUGUCAUGCCAAUGGCACUGCCCGGUAGCUAAAUGCGGAAGAGAUAAGUGCUGAAAGCAUCUAAGCACGAAACUUGCCCCGAGAUGAGUUCUCCCUGAGACUUAGAGUCUCCUGAAGGAACGUUGAAGACGACGACGUUGAUAGGCCGGGUGUGUAAGCGCAGCGAUGCGUUGAGCUAACCGGUACUAAUGAACCGUGAGGCUUAACCUU